AGUCUCCUACGGGGGGCAGCAGUGGGGGAUAUUGCACAAUGGGGGGAACCCUGAUGCAGCGACGCCGCGUGGGUGAAGAAGCGCCUCGGCGCGUAAAGCCCUGUCAGCAGGGAAGAAAAUGACGGUACCUGACUAAGAAGCCCCGGCUAACUACGUGCCAGCAGCCGCGGUAAUACGUAGGAUGCGAGCGUUAUCCGGAUUUAUUGGGUUUAAAGGGUGCUUAGGCGGAAUGCCAAGUCAGCGGUAAAAUUGCGGGGCUCAACCUCGCUCCGCCGUUGAAACUGGCGUUCUGGAGUGGGCGAGAG
This 305-nucleotide ribosomal RNA is filed under the name uncultured bacterium. RNAcentral describes it as "bacterial SSU rRNA". It matches the Rfam family "Bacterial small subunit ribosomal RNA", at positions 333 to 656 of the family's 1533-position model. The record is from RNAcentral.